CAACAGGGAUUGCCUUAGUAACGGCGAGUGAAGCGGCAAAAGCUCAAAUUUGAAAUCUGGCACCUUCGGUGUCCGAGUUGUAAUUUGAAGAAGGUAACUUUGGAGUUGGCUCUUGUCUAUGUUCCUUGGAACAGGACGUCACAGAGGGUGAGAAUCCCGUGCGAUGAGAUGCCCAAUUCUAUGUAAAGUGCUUUCGAAGAGUCGAGUUGUUUGGGAAUGCAGCUCUAAGUGGGUGGUAAAUUCCAUCUAAAGCUAAAUAUUGGCGAGAGACCGAUAGCGAACAAGUACAGUGAUGGAAAGAUGAAAAGAACUUUGAAAAGAGAGUGAAAAAGUACGUGAAAUUGUUGAAAGGGAAGGGCUUGAGAUCAGACUUGGUAUUUUGCGAUCCUUUCCUUCUUGGUUGGGUUCCUCGCAGCUUACUGGGCCAGCAUCGGUUUGGAUGGUAGGAUAAUGACUAAGGAAUGUGGCUCUACUUCGGUGGAGUGUUAUAGCCUUGGUUGAUACUGCCUGUCUAGACCGAGGACUGCGUCUUU
Molecule: ribosomal RNA, 533 nt
Filed under: Debaryomyces hansenii
Lineage: Eukaryota; Fungi; Ascomycota; Pichiomycetes; Serinales; Debaryomycetaceae
Description: LSU rRNA
Rfam family: Eukaryotic large subunit ribosomal RNA
Source: RNAcentral